This 117-nucleotide ribosomal RNA is filed under the name Sinocyclocheilus rhinocerous. Lineage: Eukaryota; Metazoa; Chordata; Actinopteri; Cypriniformes; Cyprinidae. The record is from RNAcentral.
AAAGGCAGCCAUUUCACCCUGCAGCCCAAGACUGGUUGCCCACUGAAGCUAAGCAGGGUUGAGCCUGGUCAGUACCUGGAUGGGAGACCUCCUGGGAAAACUAGGUUGCUGCUGGAA